UGCAUAUUUACAAUGAUAUUGUCUGUUUUCAAGGCAGUAAAUAUUGUGUUUUCUUUUUCUUUCUUUUUUUUUUCACCUAACUUGGUUUCAGUUAAGGUUGAUUUUGAGGGAGCUGGUUUAACAUCAAAGCUUUCCUCACCUAAAGACAUGCUCUGCCUCUCUACCUCUCUACCAGGGUACAGAGACAUGCUAACUUAAGGACACAGAGAUCUUCAAGGGCAACAGAGAAGCACCACCCACCUGGGACCUGGCUUUGCAACACGUCUCUCAGAGAUGCUGAUGGUUAGGAGCUCCCACAUGCCAGGCGAGGCAGCGGGGAGCGAUCAGGAAGCGCGUGCUUUCUCCUGGACCUGGAGCCGAGAUCCUCUGCAGGAGCAUCAACCCCGAUCGCAGAGAUCCCCAUGGUGGGCUGCAGCCGCUGAGAGCCACAGGCUGCUCGGUUUGGAGAAAGGCUGAAAAGUCGUCAGUUAUUGCUAAACCAAGUUGGUUCCAGACUAUAAAACUGAUAUAUCAUGAAGAGAAGAGCAGUGUCCUUCAGAAGCAGAUCUUGCCCUCUGCCCACAGCCACACAGGGCUGAGCCAGACCGAGUCCAAAGGCAGGCUUGUUGGAUCCAACCCCGCUGGAUCACCGUGUCUCAGCCGCUGAGGUCCCUCCUUCAAGGAAGGGAGAAAGAAGUGGAGCUGAUGCUCCAUUCAUCAUGAUGCUCCAUGGUUUCACCUGUCUCAAAACGGGCAAGCGACACGGCUGCAGCUCCCGCACUCAUCCUCACGGGAGGUCAGGGUCUGAAGGGACUGAAUGGCUGAAGACCACCAAAGGGGGGAUGAGGCGUCUGGGGCCCAUGGCAGGCUUUACGCAUGAGAACUGCUGCCUGCCCCCCUUGCUCGGCCAAGGACUGCGUUUGAAAGAAGAUCCUUGUAGCAAAGGUAGAAGCAUGAGAAAAGACGGAAGAUGGUGAGCUAAUGAACUGCACCGUACUGCAGCUUGCGGCGAGAAGCUUUGGAUGAUGGAGGCAGAGGGGAUCCCAAAGGCCAAAGGGUGCGUGAAAUUUGAACUGAGCUACUCCUUUUUUUCCCUACUUUUGAGCAUAC
RNAcentral lists this long non-coding RNA (1089 nucleotides) under Struthio camelus australis. RNAcentral describes it as "lncRNA (ENSSCUG00000001455.1)". The record is from RNAcentral. Lineage: Eukaryota; Metazoa; Chordata; Aves; Struthioniformes; Struthionidae.